UACGUAGGGCGCAAGCGUUUGUCCGGAAUUAUUGGGCGUAAAGAGCGUGUAGGCGGCCUGAAAGGUCAGCUGUGAAACUCGAGGCUCAACCUCGAGACGUCGGUUGAAACCAUCUGGCUAGAGUCCGGAAGAGGAGUGUGGAAUUCCCGGUGUAGCGGUGAAAUGCGCAGAUAUCGGGAAGAACACCCGUGGCGAAGGCGGCACUCUGGGACGGUACUGACGCUGAGACGCGAAAGCGUGGGGAGCGAACAGG
This 253-nucleotide ribosomal RNA is filed under the name uncultured bacterium. Its description in RNAcentral is "partial 16S ribosomal RNA". It matches the Rfam family "Bacterial small subunit ribosomal RNA", at positions 524 to 776 of the family's 1533-position model. The record is from RNAcentral.